Molecule: ribosomal RNA, 253 nt
Filed under: uncultured bacterium
Lineage: Bacteria
Description: partial 16S ribosomal RNA
Rfam family: Bacterial small subunit ribosomal RNA
Source: RNAcentral
UACGUAGGGUGCAAGCGUUAAUCGGAAUUACUGGGCGUAAAGCGUGCGCAGGCGGUUGUGCAAGACAGAUGUGAAAUCCCCGGGCUUAACCUGGGAACUGCAUUUGUGACUGCACAGCUGGAGUGUGGCAGAGGGGGAUGGAAUUCCGCGUGUAGCAGUGAAAUGCGUAGAUAUGCGGAGGAACACCGAUGGCGAAGGCAAUCCCCUGGGCCUGCACUGACGCUCAUGCACGAAAGCGUGGAGAGCAAACAGG